ACAAAGGCACCAGGUGGCACCUGCUCUGCACUGAAUGGCAUUCGUGUCUUGAGUCUUCUUUGGAUCAUCUCGGGACACACCAGUCAGAUGACUGCAUGGCUGUCUUUGGAUAAUGUGCUUGAAUGGAACAGCAGAGUGCUUAGAAACCCACUGUGUGUUUACUCUUGGAGUGGUCCCUUCUAUCUUGGAGUUGAUACAUUUUUCCUGAUCAGUGGUUGGUUAAGUGCAAGUUCGUUUUUAAAGAUGCAUCAGAAUUCAGACAAAGGAAUAACCCCCAAAGGCAUACUCAGAUACUUUCUCAGUCACCUGGUAAGGUUGCAGCCUCUUCACCUGUAUUCAAUGUGCUUGUUGGUUGGACUGUUCUCUCUUGUUCCCUGGGGACCUGUCUGGGAAAUGCCCAAAUUCCACUGGGAUAACUGCCGGCAAGCAUGGUGGACGAAUCUGCUGUUGCUAAAUAACUUUGUGUCGGUCAAGAAUGCGUGCAAUGGCUGGACCUGGUACCUUGCCAAUGACUUCCAGUUCCACCUCACC
RNAcentral lists this long non-coding RNA (531 nucleotides) under Homo sapiens (human). RNAcentral describes it as "non-protein coding lnc-ZNF532-2:1". The record is from RNAcentral. Lineage: Eukaryota; Metazoa; Chordata; Mammalia; Primates; Hominidae.